GGAAGGGUCGCAUAGCGGCAUAUUGCAGCGGUCUUGAAAACCGCCGACUGUAACAGGUCCCAGGGUUCGAGUCCCUGUCCUUCCGCCA
Molecule: transfer RNA, 88 nt
Filed under: compost metagenome
Description: tRNA-Ser
Rfam family: tRNA
About the family: Transfer RNA (tRNA) molecules are approximately 80 nucleotides in length. Their secondary structure includes four short double-helical elements and three loops (D, anti-codon, and T loops).
Source: RNAcentral